UCUAUGUUGAUGAUAUAGUUAUAACAGGAGAUGAUAAGGAAGAAAUUGUUUAUCUAAAGGAACGCUUGGCCCAAGAAUUUGAAAUUAAAGACUUAGACAAAUUAAGGUACCUCCUAGGAAUAUAAGUUGCCAGAUCAGACAAAGGGAUCUUUAUUUCUCAAAGCAAAUAUCUAUUAGAUCUCUUAGAUGAGACCAGCAUAUUGGGAUGUAAACCAGUAGAAUCUCCUAUUGAAGCUAAUCAUAAGUUGCAAGCAAGAGUUGGGGAGUCAGUUGACACAGGGAGAUAUCAGAGGUUAGUUGGGAGA
RNAcentral lists this unclassified non-coding RNA (305 nucleotides) under Hevea brasiliensis (rubber tree). Lineage: Eukaryota; Viridiplantae; Streptophyta; Magnoliopsida; Malpighiales; Euphorbiaceae. The record is from RNAcentral.